Telopea speciosissima is the source of this 110-nucleotide long non-coding RNA. RefSeq lists it as uncharacterized. The record is from RefSeq and is a predicted model, not a curated record. NCBI's taxonomy places the organism in Eukaryota, Viridiplantae, Streptophyta, Magnoliopsida, Proteales, Proteaceae. The transcript has 3 exons.
AGUAUGAAGUUUGUUGGGGAAAGGGUGCACUCUCAUGUCUGAUGGGUGGACCGACAAGAAAGGAAGGCACUUAAUUAAUUUUCUUGUUAAUUGUACGGAAGGGACUUUUU